This is a long non-coding RNA of Amphiprion ocellaris (clown anemonefish), 1402 nucleotides long. RefSeq lists it as uncharacterized. The record is from RefSeq and is a predicted model, not a curated record. NCBI's taxonomy places the organism in Eukaryota, Metazoa, Chordata, Actinopteri, Pomacentridae. The transcript has 5 exons.
UUUGUUUGCAGACUGCUAGAGUCACACUUGGACUCGGUUCUUCUGCUGGUCCCUGCUUUACCUCCAGACUGCCAUAGCCGCACACGGACUCUUCUUCCCCCUGAAGUUCUGCUGUUCCCUGUUCUUCUCUCACCAGCUAUCACCUGUCUUGCCUGCUGCCAGCUCAACUCCCCUCUCGCCUGAAAUCUGGACCUCCAGUUCCAUUUUUGUUCUGUUCUUUAUUCCUAUGAGUAUCUUGUCUCUUAGUGUAGUGGAUACAGCUUGGCUUUCUUUGGAAUGCCAAAGAAGAGGUCAAACCAGAAACUGAAGUCCAUCGGCUGCCUACCGACACCCAUACCGGAAAUCUGCUGGCAGACUUCCGGCACUGCGCUGAGCGCUCCAACGGGAGAACUCGUUGCCUGGCAACAACGCGACGCUUCAGGAGGAAGUUUCCGGUCUAUAACCGCUGUGUUCCAGCCAAGGGAAACUCCGAUCUAGCAGGGGAGGGGCAGUCUGUGAACGCGCCUCUGUGAGGGGUCCGCGCGUCCCCGCUGCUGCGCGCCAAAGCUGUUUUUGAGAACGACGUCACAAGGAACGACGCGGUUCAUGUCGAAGUAUUGAGUUUGUGACAAAAGGGGAUACCUAUUAAAACAUGGGAGCUAUGAUGGAGCUGGACCAUGUCCUUGGUUACACAAAGACUGUUUGAGCACAUUUCACUCUAUUAAUGCACUUAAGCAUGCUUUGACUCUGAUGAUUCCACCACCUUGACAUUGGGAUCCUCUGUGUAGAGUAUGAAGGUGCUGCGCCCUCAUCUUCCUUCCAUCUUGGUCCAGCCUCAUUAAAGAUCAUCACUGAGGGAGAUGUGAUGGAGAACAUUCAAGACCUGCCAAAAGUUAUGUAUGUUCUGUUUCCCACCAGUCUACACCGAGUCAGUUAAGAUGAUUGUUUUAGCAGCAUUGAUUGUUCAUUACAACCUUGGGCCUCUAUAUUCCCCAACAAAUUCUUGCAAGUUUAUAAAAUGCAACACAAAAUCCUCACAUUUCAUUCCCAAAUGUUAAGCAGGUAUUGGUUAUUUUGUACUCGGGAGGAAUUUAUUUAAUAGGUGAUACGUUUGUCCAGUUGCUUGUUAUACACCAAGAUUUAGAAGUGUCUGCGCAGAACUACGAAUUUGUGCCAUUUGCCAUGAAACGGUUAACAAAAUUCAAGUGUCCUCCUCAGUCAAGUAGAAGGUUUUAUAAGCUUGUGUCCAGUCAUUUGGGGGCAGUGGUGGCGCAACGGUUAAGUCUCUGGACUACUGAUCAGAAGGUCAGAGGUUCAAGCCCCGAUAUGGCCACUGUUGGGCCCUUGACCUUUCCUGCUCCAGGGGUGCUGUACUGUGGGUGACCUGUCGUUCUGACUCCCCCAAUUGGGAGAUAUGCAAAAA